Molecule: long non-coding RNA, 922 nt
Filed under: Marmota marmota marmota (Alpine marmot)
Lineage: Eukaryota; Metazoa; Chordata; Mammalia; Rodentia; Sciuridae
Description: lncRNA (ENSMMMG00000006046.1)
Source: RNAcentral
GCGCCGCGCGUAGAGGAAGAGGAAAUGCCUAGCGGCGGACUGCCGCCGCUCGCCUGCGCGGCCCAUGGGGCCCCCGCACGUCCCCAACCCACGCCUGAGGCCUGCCUGAAUCCAUGCUGAUCCUCCAGGCAGCAACCACAGAAUUCACCAGUCUCUAGGAUCCAGAAGUGUUGACAACAACACCUGGGGCCCAUUGCAACUUCCUGUGACCCUAUCUCUUGAACCAGUGCUAGAGGCAGGGAACCAGGUACUGUUCUCCAUCAGAACCCAAGAAACUGCCAGGCUUGGAAAUGAAAGCUGUCAUCAUUAUGUACUCCAUCCAGAUCUAUUUCUCACCUCACAUAUCUCAGCCCCAGUCUGGUUUCAUGUGCAUGCCCAAGCACUCUUGAUGUGGACCUCAAUUAAAUCUGCCUUGUUUCCUUGGGAUCAGUCACUGUAGCACCAUCUUCAUGGAACACUAAACACUGUCAUCUCUCUUUGAGAGCCCACCCUGAUUUCUUUACUAAUCCUAGUUCACGACUGGUUCCUGCUUUUUUAACUUAACUUUGUUCCCUUCUUGCUGGUUCUGGGUGAUUGUUUAUAAAAAGUUCUGAAUGUUCUUUGGAUUGAUUCUUUAAAACCCAGUGCCCUGUCCCCUCUCCACUCUCCUCCCCCACUACUACUGCUCACCAUUCUAAUGCUGAGACCAGCUCUUCAGAACUCAGAUGGCAAACACCAGGGACUACUGGUCCAGACGUAUAAAUAGCAGCUUCUCCUACCCAAUAGAGUUCAUGCUCAUGUAAAGCACUUUAUAUGUCUAUACCCAGAAUAGUAUCCGACCAAAGUCAAGUCUCUAUAAGUGUUUCUUACAUUAUUCCAAAAUUAAGGAAAUGAAGCAGACAUUCUCUCUUGUACAAGAAUAUCUUUGGAAUAAAAAAUUAAG